UACGAAGGGGGCUAGCGUUGUUCGGAAUUACUGGGCGUAAAGGGCGCGUAGGCGGUCUUACAAGUUAGGUGUGAAAUUCCUGGGCUCAACCCGGGGGCUGCACUUAAGACUGUAAGGCUUGAAUUCGGGAGAGGAUAGUGGAAUUCCCAGUGUAGAGGUGAAAUUCGUAGAUAUUGGGAAGAACACCAGUGGCGAAGGCGGCUAUCUGGACCGACAUUGACGCUGAGGCGCGAAAGCGUGGGGAGCAAACAGG
RNAcentral lists this ribosomal RNA (253 nucleotides) under uncultured bacterium. Its description in RNAcentral is "partial 16S ribosomal RNA". It matches the Rfam family "Bacterial small subunit ribosomal RNA", at positions 524 to 776 of the family's 1533-position model. The record is from RNAcentral.